Molecule: RNA transcript, 1263 nt
Organism: Juglans microcarpa x Juglans regia
Lineage: Eukaryota; Viridiplantae; Streptophyta; Magnoliopsida; Fagales; Juglandaceae
Gene name: TLC domain-containing protein 5-like
Exons: 6
Source: RefSeq, a predicted model, not a curated record
GGCGAUGUGUUUCCCAAUAGAUUAGUUUUUGGUCCUUUUUUCAGUUGGGGAGUUUGGGAAGUGCAUGAAAUAAAGGACUCAAUAUGAUUUUAAUUCAUCUUGAGUAUAUCAAAUCUCAUCAUCAUGUUGGGUCUAAACUAGAAUCAAUACAAACAACUUCCACACCUAACCCAUUUCCACCUGUAUUUUACAACACAAAAUAAAUGUUGCCUACAACUUGAUGCAUGGCAGAAGCUUUUUCUAUCUGGGGAGGAAGAAACGGGCCGGUCUGCUUUUGUUAUUCAUCAAGAAGAAGGAUUCAUAAACCCUACAUGAUCAUCAUGGCUACUUGAAACCAGAUUGAUAUCUCUGUCUCGUUUCCGGCCGGUAGAUUUUGGGCUGACCAUCUUCACUUGAAGGCUCAAAUCUGCGAAGAAAUAUAUAAAUGGAAGCCUAUAUUAUGAAUAUAAUAGUGCUUGGAGUCAUUUCAUGGACAACAGUUUUUCUGCUAAUAAGGAGGAUAUUCCCCAAGCGCUCGUUUGAUUUCUGCAACCGGGCUGUUUCUACGAUUCAUGCUACUUUAGCUGUAAUAUUAACCUUUCUCUCCGUUCAAGAUUGGGGGUGCCCAGUUUGUCCUUUGGCUGCAAAAUCUUCCCCAAAGCAGAUGCAAACUCUAGCAGUGAGCCUCUCUUAUAUGAUCUAUGAUUUAGUAUGUUGCCUCUUUGAAAAGCGAGUCAGCCUCGACAACUCCAUCCACCAUCUGAUCAGCAUCGUUGGAAUUGGCGCAGGCCUUUCCUAUGAGAAGUGUGGAUCAGAAAUGGUAGCUGCAUUAUGGGUAACUGAAGUCUCCAGCCCUUUCCUCCACCUGAGGGAGCUUCUCAAAGAACUUGGAUUCAGGGACACCGACCUUAAUUUGGCAGUCGAUAUUUUGUUUGCAGUGAUAUUUACAUUAGGCAGGAUGGUUUGUGGGCCUUAUAUCACUUACGUGACUGUAUCUGCUAGCAAUCCUUUUGUCAUAAAGGCAAUGGCAUUGGGCCUGCAGCUGGUUAGUGCCUUCUGGUUCUACAAAAUCGUCAGGAUGGUGACACACAAAUUGACCAAGCGGACAGCAUCUAAAAACGUCUCCUCAAAACUAUUCACACCAAAAAUUUGAAACUCGGUCAAUGUCACGACAUUUUGUAAAAUAAUUGAUGUAUUUUUCAGAUCAGUUUUUUUAAUGACAACUUGACAUACCCUGUAAAAUACCGGCAUCUGCUUUCAACAAUUAUAAACUAGUUAUAAUUG